UUUUGCAAAAAUGGAGACAAGCACAUUAAGUUAGAGACAAAGGUAAGGUACAACUCUCGGGCACCAAGUCAAGGUCCCUGCUAUUGGAAGCUCCAUUGCAUGGGGUCUGGAAAUGCAAUGUGGACGGUACAAUUUUUGACGCAAGUUAUGAGGCAGGAUAGGGAGCAGUCGUCCGAGACUCGGCAAAAAAAGUAUUGAUGGUUUUCUCUAAUAGGUUAUGAGGGUGUUGAUCUCCCUAUCUAACUAAACUACUUGGCUACCGUAAUUCACUGCAAUAUAUAAUCUCCAAUAUCAUUGGGUCGGGCGUUAUCGAAGUGGAUGCACAAAUGGUAAAAAAUGCUUUGACGACCAAUGGGGAAGAUUGUUCUGAGUUUAGAUUCAUUGUUGAAGAUUGUAGGACUCUGCUGGCAUUUCGAGCUAAUGUAUCCAUAAGUUGGGUUCGAAGACAAGGCAACAGUAGUCCAUAACAUUGCGUAGACUGCUCGUUCCCAUUCUUGUUUGUAUGUUUGGGAGAGUUUACCUCCCAAUAUUGUUGUAAUGUUUUCCUAACUCUUAAUGAAUUGAUUACUUAAAAAAAUGAAGACACUAGACUUUUUAUUAUUUAU
RNAcentral lists this long non-coding RNA (605 nucleotides) under Carica papaya (papaya). RNAcentral describes it as "long non-coding RNA (CPAP_LNC014882)". The record is from RNAcentral. Lineage: Eukaryota; Viridiplantae; Streptophyta; Magnoliopsida; Brassicales; Caricaceae.